AUGAUUUUAUUGUCAUUUUUAGUUAUAUACAGUAGCAGAAACUUCCACAGCCUACUGUAAUACUUUUUAUAAAACUUCUGGAUUCCUCCUGCGUAGGUUUUUGGUUUUUGUUCACUCGAACUAGCUAACGUUUCGCAAAUCACCCUGUUGGCUUCUUCAGAGCUUAAGUGAAACUGCUUGAGUCUCAGUUAAGCUCUUAAGAAACGUCAGCAAGUUGGACUCAACAACAACCGACGCAUUAGGAAUACAGAAGUGUUGUAGAUAGUAAAUAAAUACUUGUUAAUAAAACUUAAAAGUCACCUUACCUUUUGAACGCAACUCGAAGAAGAAAAUUAAGAUGUUUUUAUUUUGGUCCUUCGCGGGGCCGAUGCUGUCGUCCUAGAAGUUAAUUGAAGCCAACUCGACAAUGUCCGACAGGAAAAUUGCAGGAGAACAUGGAAUCGCAUAAUACCGAAUUGCAGGCGGAUUGCGUAUGACGCCCAACCGCUGGUCGAAUGGCGAAUUAGGAGACACGCAAGCAGACGUGGUAUUGCUUGGAAAAUUGAAGACUGAUACAAAUUUCUUGUUGGAAGAAACACCCAGAGAGCCAUCAAUGUUUUUGAAGCAGCCUUCUGUCAAGCAGUUGUGCUGGUCUGAACAACCCUCUUCGGUCCGGUUCAGCUUCGCUUUUCAGGCCAGCAGGAAAGCGG
Cylas formicarius (sweet potato weevil) is the source of this 689-nucleotide long non-coding RNA. RefSeq lists it as uncharacterized. NCBI's taxonomy places the organism in Eukaryota, Metazoa, Arthropoda, Insecta, Coleoptera, Brentidae. The record is from RefSeq and is a predicted model, not a curated record. The transcript has 3 exons.